Molecule: long non-coding RNA, 1338 nt
Organism: Catharus ustulatus (Swainson's thrush)
Lineage: Eukaryota; Metazoa; Chordata; Aves; Passeriformes; Turdidae
Exons: 2
Source: RefSeq, a predicted model, not a curated record
CCACGGAAAGCUGAAGUGUCCCAAGGAAUGCUGAGGUCCCAGGGAACAGAGGCAUUCCCUGCCCGGCGCACUCGGCAGCACAUCCCUGACGUGGUGCAGAAAAAGGAAAGUUCUGGGAUAGUGUGAGGAUGUUUCUGGAAUUGGGAUGGGUGCCGAUCACACCAUGGAGUCACGGGGGAUUUGGCUUGGAAGGGACCACAGAGAUCUUCUACAGGCUGCUGUCUGAUCCCACAGCAAGGAACAUCCCACAGUGCCUCCCACCCUCAUGGACAGCAGGGAUGUUUUCCACAGCUCCUGCUCAGGAAUGGGAACGGCUGCUGGGAGCUCUGCCAGCAGCACCUGGACACCGGGUAAGAACAGCACUGGGACUGGUUUGGCUGCUGCUGGAUGUGGAUUUCUCCUUUCAGGAUGUUCCUCUGAUUGAUCCUUUCACAUCAGUGUUCCAGGGCCCAUUUGAGGGCAAUUCCAAGAAUUUCAAAACAGUUGAAGAACAGAGAGGAAAAACUGUGAACCUGAUCCAUUUCUAGUAAUUCCAAACUUCUCCCACAACACCAUCCUAGAGGAAACCUGGGUAAGGGAUAAAGAUGCAGAGGAACAGCUGUUGUAAACCCCCCUGGAUUUCUGACAGAGCAAACCUUCCAAUAAUCCCAGCUGAUGGCUCUGAGGAACUGUGGAUCAUACUGAUUUCCAGGAAAGCGAAACAAGAGAUGAGGGAAUAGGCUUCCAGUUGAAAGUGAUUUGAUGAACACAGGAAUGAUUCUUUUAUGUUUGAUGCUCCCCUUUAUAUUCCUGGAAUAAUUUAAAAUUGUUCCUUUAAUAAAUAAUCUAAAUUUGGGAAUUUAAAUUUGAGAGGGAAUGAUGCAAAAUUAAUGCAGGGAGAGACUGUAGAAUCAUCAUGGAAGGGUUUGGGUCGGAAGCCUCAUCUCUGAGCCUGUCCUGGGCUGGCUCCUGCCCUUCGGCCACUGCUUGCAGGUGGACAUGGAAGUGAUGGAGAUGCACAGGGAAUGCUGGUUGGUUUUCCCUGCCUAUGGAAAUCUGAUCAUUAAAAUGACCCCUGAUUGAUCUCUUCCAGCAGGGAGACAUUUAAACAUGAGGUGCCAAAAAGAACUGGAGCUUCUGCACAAUGAAAUCUGCAAGAAUCCAACUUAAAACCCCCCCUGCAUUGUCACAGGUGCAACUUCCAUGGACUGGUCACCUUGGCCAGGAGUGUCCAAUCCUGCUGGAAAUGCACUGCACCAGGAUGUCAUCUUCAUUUUAGGCAGCAGAGGAGCCUUUCCCUUGCCCAGAGGAGCAGCCAGUGCCUCCCUUAGUCCACAGAUCUCCAGGAUUGACCACAGA